This 1394-nucleotide ribosomal RNA is filed under the name Batocnema coquerelii. Its description in RNAcentral is "16S ribosomal RNA". Lineage: Eukaryota; Metazoa; Arthropoda; Insecta; Lepidoptera; Sphingidae. The record is from RNAcentral.
GGGGUAAAAUUAAUAAUUUAAAUUUAAUAAAAAAAAUUUUAAUGUUAAAAAUAUGAUUAAUGGGGGUUAAAGUAUUUUUAAUAGAAAAAAUUUUUAUUUUUAUAGUUUAUUAGUAUUGUAAAAGAAUUUUGAAAUAAUUUGAAAAUAAAUUUAUUUUAAAGUAAAUUUAAUUUAUUGUAUCUUGUGUAUCAGAGUUUAUUAAUAAUUUUUUAUAAAAUUUUAAAUUUCUCGAAUUUAAUAGAGUUAAUUAAUUAAUAAAUUUAUUGUUUUAUAAAUAUUUUAAAUAAUUAAUUUGAAAUGAAAUGUUAUUCGUUUUUAAAUAUAUCUAGUUUUUUAAAAAAAAAAUUUAAUUUUUAAUUAAUUUAAAUAAAAAUUAAUUAAUUAAAUUUAAUUAAUUUUUAAAUUAAUUUAAUAUUUUAAGGGAUAAGCUUUAAAUUAAAUUUUUAUAAUUAUUUAUUAAUUUAAUUGAAAAUUUUAUAAUUUAUAUUGUUAAUAAAUUUUAAUUUAUUAUAAAUAAUUUCAUUUAAUUAAAAAUUUAAUUUAAAAUUUAAUAUUUUAUUAAAAAAUAAAUAUAAAUUAAUUAUAAUUAGUUAUAAUGAUAAAAUUAGUAUAUAAAUUAGUAAAUAUAUUUAAAAUUAUUAUUUAUAAUAAUUAUUUUAAAGGAAUUCGACAAAUUUAAAUAUGUAUAUAUUUAUAUAGAUAUGAAUAUAUUCACCUGUUUAUCAAAAACAUGUCUUUUUGAUUAAUAAUUUAAAGUCUAAUCUGCCCACUGAUUAAUAUAAUUAAAGGGCUGCAGUAUAUUGACUGUACAAAGGUAGCAUAAUCAAUAGUCUCUUAAUUAGUGACUUGUAUGAAAGAUUGGAUGAAAUAUAAAUUGUCUCUAAAAUAAAUUAUUGAAUUUAAUUUUUUAAUUAAAAAGUUAAAAUAUUUUAAAAAGACGAGAAGACCCUAUAGAGUUUUAUAUUUAUUUAAUUUAAAAUUAUAAAUUAAUUAGGUUAUAUUUAAAUUUAAAUAAAUAUUUCAUUGGGGUGAUGAAAAAAUUAGUAUAACUUUUUUUAAUUAAAAUCAUUAAUUUAUGAAUUAUUGAUCCAAUAAUAUUGAUUAUAAGAAAAAAUUACCUUAGGGAUAACAGCGUAAUUUUUUUUUUUAGUACUUAUAAGAAAAAGAGUUUGCGACCUCGAUGUUGGAUUAAGAUAAAAUUUAAAUGCAAAAGUUUAAAAUUUUGAUCUGUUCGAUCAUUAAAAUCUUACAUGAUCUGAGUUCAAACCGGUGUAAGCCAGGUUGGUUUCUAUCUUUUAAUAUUUUUAAUAUUUUAGUACGAAAGGAUUAAAUAUUAUAAUUAAAUUAAUUUAAUUUGAAUUUUAUUAAUUAUAAAUAAAUUUAUUAUUUGUUUA